This 585-nucleotide long non-coding RNA is filed under the name Salmo salar (Atlantic salmon). Its description in RNAcentral is "lncRNA (ENSSSAG00000103101.1)". The record is from RNAcentral. Lineage: Eukaryota; Metazoa; Chordata; Actinopteri; Salmoniformes; Salmonidae.
AAAAUGUAUCCUAGUUGAUAGUUAUUCAGCCAACAUCAUUUAUUAUGGUCAUUGCUACAUACUCCGUGCUUCAUGCUGUCUUUGCAACUUCCUAUUACUGCCAGGUCACUCCCAUCAUUUUGAUGGUCCAUAGCUUGACUUUUAUUCUCAACUGCUAGGUUCUUCCUCAAGUUCAGCAAUGUAUGAGAUAAAGAUGUCAGGAGUGGUUGUACAGGCUGUCACAGGGGACAUUACCAAAGAGACUACGGAUGUCAUUGUCAACUCCUCCAACUCCUCCUUCAGCCUCAAGUCAGGGGUGUCUAAAGCCAUUCUGGACACGGCUGGUCCGACUGUGGAGACUGAAUGCCAACAACUCGGAUUCAUCCAAUGGCAUUGAGGAGUAUACCACCUCAGUCAUCAGCUUCAUCAAUAAGUGCAUCAACGACGUCGUCCCCACAGUGACCAUACGUACAUACCCCAACCAGAAGCCAUGGAUUACAGGCAACAUCUGCAUCCAGCUAAAGGCUAGAGCUGCCGCUUUCAAGGAGCGGGACACUAAUCCAGACACUUAUAAGAAAUCCCGCUAUGCCCUCAGACGAACCAUCA